UACGGAGGGUGCAAGCGUUGUCCGGAAUCACUGGGCGUAAAGGGCGCGUAGGCGGCCCGGUAAGUAGGGGGUGAAAUCCUGCGGCUUAACCGCAGGGCUGCCUUCUAAACUGUCGGGCUCGAGCACGGUAGAGGCAGAUGGAAUUCCCGGUGUAGCGGUGGAAUGCGUAGAGAUCGGGAAGAACAUCAGUGGCGAAGGCGGCUGACUGGUCCGGUUCUGACGCUGAGGCGCGAAAGCGUGGGGAGCAA
Molecule: ribosomal RNA, 248 nt
Filed under: uncultured bacterium
Lineage: Bacteria
Description: partial 16S ribosomal RNA
Rfam family: Bacterial small subunit ribosomal RNA
Source: RNAcentral